RNAcentral lists this long non-coding RNA (3318 nucleotides) under Sus scrofa (pig). RNAcentral's name for it is "lncRNA (ENSSSCG00035047519.1)". The record is from RNAcentral. Lineage: Eukaryota; Metazoa; Chordata; Mammalia; Artiodactyla; Suidae.
CGCGUUGCUGUGGCUCUGGCAUAGGCCUGUGGCUACAGCUCCGAUUCGACCCCUAGCCUGGGAACCUCCAUAUGCCGUGAGAGCAGCCCAAGAAAUGGCAAAAAAAAAAAAAAGAAAAAAAAAAAAAAAAAAAAAAAAAAAAAGAAUUGUGCAUUAGUAGAAUGUAUAUCAGUUAAAAACAGCAUUUUCCCAGUUUUCUCAUGAUGCUUCCUCUUGUGAAGUAAAUGGCGGGACUACACUUCCUGUGUGCUAGCCACUGCUGGAAAAGACUAGUGUGUGGCCAUCAAGGACAUGGACUGUGAUGAAAAUCAUUAAUCUUUCUUUGCCUCAUUGUCCUUGAGUAGAGGAGGAUGAGUAGAUGAACUGAGUUAAUAUAUGCACAGCACUUGGACAAAGGUCCAGUAUGUAAAGAGAGUUUAAUAAUUAUUAGCUGAUUUCUUUUCAUUGAGUAACAUGUACUUUGGGGUGGACAUUUCGGUUGUUUGCUUUGGGGCAGGCAGAGGUGUGGAAAAACCCCAAAGACGUCAUGGAAGUGGAGGGUGAUAUGUCUAACCUUGGGCAUAUUUGCCCUCUGUGAGAGUCUCUCGUUGGAACUGCCCAGGCAUCAGGCAGAGAUACAAGGAAGUUACAGGGAAGUUGAGGUCACUUCUCAAAUUUUUACUAAUUUAGGAACUUUGAGAAUAUUGGAGAAUAUAGGCUUAAAUGAUGUAGGAUCUUUUUACAUCACAAAUUGACUCAGCUCAGGCUGUUUGCUGUAACCUAUAAGGCUUGGUGUGACCUGGUGCUACCUGUUCUCCCAAGCCUCACCCCUUAGUUCUUCAUGCGCACUCUUACCUCCUUCCUGACCCUCUAAAUCACACCAGCUCUUUUCCACUUGAAGCCUUUGCACACACUCCCCAAUGCAACCUGAGGGGGCGCUCUCUCUCUCAGCACAUGACUCCUGGCCUUUUCCUUCAAUCUCAGAUUGGAGUUUCUCUGUCUUCUCUGCUCAGAAAGGUCCCUUUGUGAUGUUGUCUUCCAAAGAUAUCAUUUGUACUGACUUUGUCAUCCACACUGACUGUGAGAACUUUUUUUUGUCCGUAUUCUUGCCACAAAGAGCGUUCAAAUUGUUUUUCAUCCUUGCCAGUUUAACUGAUGAUAAAUGUGGUGAUUUAAGUUGGUAUAAGGGAAGAGGCAGAGUUAUUCCAUGAGGGCCAAGGUUAAUCAUUCAUUACCUCACCUUAAGAGCCUGUUUCCUUUGUAGCACUCAUCAUUACCAGGAAUUACUGUCUUUAUUUUGCUCUUUCCUUAUUUUUCACUUGCUUUUUUUCACUUGUAAGUUAAAAAGUGGAUAAGUUCUGUGAGGCCUGGGGUGGUGUUUGCCUUUUCACAGUUAUAUUCUGGGUUCCAGGCCCAGAAACUGCAGUAUUGGAAGUGCUAUAAAAACAUUUGGAGAGUGAAAGAACGAAUGAGAAAAACAGGCUCCCUGCCCUCAGGAACACAGGUCUCAUCAAUGAAAUAGAGAAUUGCUUUGUGUUAUUGGUUCAGAAAGAGAGUGAGGAUGGAAUCAGUGGGUCUCAAAAAAUUACACUCAUGUAGGCAGGAUCAAUAUUCUAAUCCUUAACAACCAGUCAGCAAAAAUAAAGGUCAGUUGGAACAGGCAUUGGCUGUAGUGCUGGGCAGGGUGUUAACCCUCAGUUGCUGGAUUGUGGGGAGGUGGGUAGGAUUCAGAGAUGGGACUCAGGAUAGUGAUCUAUUGCCAGCCAUUGUGGAGGAAUUGUCAGUAUUUAAACAUCAAAUGCAGGCGCAUGUGUGUAUUCCUACUAAAUAUCAGCCCUGAUUAUAGAAAAAAGUCGUACCCCUUCUGGUACUGGAACCCCAUUCUCUGCCUUUAUCUGGAGGAUCCUGACAUCCUCAUACUUCACCUCCGAGUGCCCUCUGCACUCAUGACACACCCGUACGUCCUUUCUUGUACAUACUUAAUUUAGUUAUUUAUUUAUUGGCCACACCUGCAAUGUACCAAAGUUCCCCCGCAAGGGAUCAAACCCGCGCCAUAGCAGUGACCCCAAGCUACAGCAGUGACAAUGCCAGAUCCUAGACCCACUGAGCCACCAGGGAACUCCACCUUAUGCAUUCUUUAAAUAAGCAAACUCAUCACCUGUCAGACUGGCAAGGAUGAAAGAAAUUCCAAAUACUCCUUGUGGGAAAGAUGUGGACAAAAAGGCUCUUAUCACUGUUGAUGAGAAUGUCAGUAGGGGUGAUAUUUUUGGCAGCUAAGUUGGCAGUUUCUAUCAAAUUGUUAAAUGCACAUUUCUAUUGACCAAAUAAUAGAACUUCUGGGAGUUCAUCUUCCAAACUGGUACAAAUACAAAAUGAUGUAGGUACAAGUAUGUCCACUCUAGCACUAUUUUAAUAGCAAAAGUAUGGCAGCAGUUUAUAUGUCUAUUAAUAGAGGGUAGUAAAUAAAUAAUGGUACUUCCAUCUACUAGAAUGAUGUGGCUUUUAAAAAGUGUUAGGGUAGAUAUCUAAAAUCAAAUUCAUAGAGAUAGGAGGUAGAUUGGUGAUUACGUGGAGCUAGGGUGAGGGAAAGAUGGGAAGUGAAUGAUUCACGGGUCCUGUUUGGAGUGAUGAAAAGGUAGUGGUGAUUAUCACACAACGGUGUGAAUGUCAUUAAUGCCACUGAAUUGUACACUUAAAACUGAUUGAAAUGGCAGGUUUUAUGCCAUAGAUAUUGUGCCACAAUUUUAAAAAACUUUAAAGAAGGAGCAAAUGAACAGACAAAAAAUAAAAAGAGGAAAACACAUGCAUGCAUGCGUGCCCACGCACACCAUCUAGUCUGGAAAGACGUGUUCGGAUUGUUGAGGGUGGUUAUGUCUAACAGAUGGAAUUCAAGGAAGAACAGAAGAAAAUUUUGUCCUGUGUACUGUUCUAUUUUUGGCAUUUUUCACAGUAAGCAUCUAUUUUGUAAUUUCUUUAAUUGAAGGGUUUUUUAAAAGUCGACCCGACCUGUGGUAAAACCUUGGAGUUGGUACAAUUUUCUAGCUUAUAUAACUGAAACAAUCCUAAAGGUCUGUUUGCAGUUGAACUUGCUUGCAUCUAAUAUCCUUGUGCAAUAUUUAACCUAGGGUGAGAGUUUAAUUAUGGUUUAAAACACGGAAUGGUUUUCCUUCCCGAGAUUAAAUUACAUCUUGUAGAAAAACAGGCUCUCAAAUUUAGAAAGAAUUUGGUCUUCUGUUCCCUCAAUGAGGACUGACUCUUCUAUCUAGUAAUUUACUGUAAAGCAAGAUGCUUCUAUUUGUAGUUUUACAUCCCUUUCUUUGAUAUUUAAGGCAUGUUGGC